This 460-nucleotide ribosomal RNA is filed under the name uncultured bacterium. Its description in RNAcentral is "partial 16S ribosomal RNA". It matches the Rfam family "Bacterial small subunit ribosomal RNA", at positions 338 to 795 of the family's 1533-position model. The record is from RNAcentral.
CCUACGGGCGGCAGCAGUGAGGAAUAUUGGUCAAUGGGCGCGAGCCUGAACCAGCCAAGUAGCGUGAAGGAUGACUGCCCUACGGGUUGUAAACUUCUUUUAUAAAGGAAUAAAGUGAGGCACGUGUGCCUUAUUGUAUGUAAUUUAUGAAUAAGGAACGGCUAACUCCGUGCCAGCAGCCGCGGUAAUACGGAGGAGCCGAGCGUUAUCCGGAUUUAUUGGGUUUAAAGGGAGCGUAGAUGGGUAGUUAAGUCAGUUGUGAAAGUUUGCGGCUCAACCGUAAGAUUGCAAUUGAUACUGGCCGUCUUGAGUACAGUUGAGGUAGGCGGAAUUCGUGGUGUAGCGGUGAAAUGCUUAGAUAUCACGAAGAACUCCGAUUGCGAAGGCAGCUUACUAAACUGCCACUGACAUUGAUGCUCGAAAGUGUGGGUAUCAAACAGGAUUAGAUACCCGAGUAGUC